RNAcentral lists this long non-coding RNA (12440 nucleotides) under Olea europaea subsp. europaea. Lineage: Eukaryota; Viridiplantae; Streptophyta; Magnoliopsida; Lamiales; Oleaceae. The record is from RNAcentral.
AUCUUCUUACAAAAUAUCUUGAUGCAGACUGCAGAUUUUUUCCGAGGUGACAAUCCAGAAGGCUUGGAAGCACGCAAUGAGGUAAUUGUUUACCAGGAAAACCAUUUUAAAUCAUGAGAAUAUUUUAGUAAGCUGUAUAAGUUUUAUCAGCUGAAAUCACCACCAAAUUAGCAUGGAUUCAAAGUAAUUUCUCUUGUAACUAUACUUCUUCCUCGAUAACAUAUAAUAAGGGUUAUACUGUGAUAGGCACUUGCCAUUCUAGAAGUGGAGAUAUUAAUGAUAUCUUUGUCUUGUCAUUUUCGCUAUGCCUCCAUUUUGGUAUUCUAAUAAGAUUUUCAAUUCAAAAGUCAAUUGCUUUUAUUGGACAUUUCCUUAUACCCUUAGCAAAGACUUAAUGUUUCAAGACUGUUUGCACCCCUUUCUCUCUCAUUCUGCAUAAUUUAGUAUAGAAAAAUUGGGAAAAGAAAAUUUGAGGAUUACAACCAUGACAGUACCCCAAAAGUGUUGUUUGUGAUAUUAUUCUCUGUUUAUAAUAGGGAAAUUAGAGCUUUUGGCAUCUAUGGUAUGCUACAUGCUCAAAUUUGAUUAAUGAAAAGCUGUAUGCAUGCUGUUUGCUUGUGUAGUGUAAGCAUGAUAUAUUUGUGAGAGACUUUUGUGGCUAUACAUGCAUGGCUUUUCCUAACUAAUUUCAUGCCAUUCAGUUGCCACCCUUGGAAAUAUGAAAUGUGGCUAAUUUUGCAAACUCAAGAUUUGCCUGAUCAUUAUCUUCUCAUUGGUGAAAUGGCAUGAGUCAAAAGUCUCUCGUAUGUAUGACCUUCUGCUCUAUGCGUCUAUCACAUUCAGAUCUUCCCUUGAUUUUUUUCUCCUGUUCACAGUUUCUUUGGAAAUAAUAUUUGUAAACACUGUGUAAAUCUCCUCUUUUAGUUUUUCUAGAUGUUAGUAUCUUUUGUAUAGCUGUAAAUUAGUUCUUCCCAAUCUUGUAAUCUCUAAUCCUAUAAAUAUGUAAUUUUAAUUCUUUUAAAUUCUUCAGUCCUUUCCAAAUGAUGUGAAUAUGACAUGGCUGAUUUACAAGCUGUUUAUAAAUGUCAAUUGAAGAUAUCUAGGCUUCUUACUCAUGACUUCUUUUGCUGUACUUGCAAGUUUGUGGUUGCUGAUAGCAUUGGGCAUUGCAUUUUUCUCUUAAAACUUACCUGCUGAAAGAAAUUUUUAAAUUUUGAACUUCUUUUGCUGUUUUUUGUUGUUUCUUAUUUUAAGUCAUGCCCUGAAUUGGCCUUUUUCCUUGCACAUAGUUUUAAUAUGUCACCUGCAACUAGGUAGCAGCUCUUGCAAUGGAAGAUAUGAUAUCUUGGAUGCAAGAGGGUGGACAGGUAAGUUUUAUUUUUAAUUGUGAUAAUCUGCUACAUAUAUUUUACCCUGUUCUAAUAUAAAUUUUACGUGCAUUUAGGUGGGAAUAUUUGAUGCCACAAACAGUACAAGGAAUAGGAGGAAUAUGCUUAUGAAAAUGGCUGAAGGAAAAUGCAAGGUAUGAUGAUUUUGCGGCUAGUUGAUUAUAAUUCUGCGAGGAACUGUGCAGAGUAAGACUCAAUUUGUGGCAAAUCUUCCAAUAAAAUUUUCAUAGAUGUUAUAAUAGUUUGACAUGCAUAACAUGAAAGAUGAUCGUAGAGAAGCCACUUGAGGUUUCUCCCUCUCCCGCCCUUCUUUUUUUUUUUUUUUUUGGGGGUAUUGGGGCAGCGGUCUUGUGUGUUGGGUUAAGACUUCUGAAACAGAAGCUAGAGAAAGAUUCCUACAAUGCAGACUAUAGGUUAUGUGAAUUUUCCUGGGUGUGGACCACAAUGCCUUUGAGUACAAGUGCACACCACUCAACUCUGUAAGGCCUCUUUGUUUGUUUUCGACAGCAGUGCACAAGUUAUAUUUAAUCUGUGAUGGUGGUUUGCCUUGAUAUUCUUGCUUGGCAUCUAAUUUUUUAUAUGACAUAAACCAUAGCUGAUUCUCGGUGCCUUUUAGAGUGAGAGCCUGUUAGUGUGAUUACAUGUUCUUUGCUUCAGAUUAUCUUUUUGGAGACAAUAUGCAAUGAUCAGCAAAUAAUUGAAAGAAAUAUACGCCUCAAAGUUCAGCAGAGCCCUGACUAUGCGGAAGAGUAUGACUAAACUCGUUUCAUUGUAAUGCUAACCCACUGUAAUUUUACGUCGUGAUUCAUGAUAUUUUCAGGCCGGAUUUUGAAGCUGGAUAUCAUGACUUCAAACAUCGACUUGAGAACUAUGACAAAGUAGUUUCUUGAAACAUACUAUAGCUCAAGUUUUUAUUAUUAUUUUUUUGAUGGAUGCUAUGGGUAAUAGUGUUUUAUAGGUAGCAUUUUCUGAUUUCAGGUUUAUGAACCCGUAGAAGAAGGCUCUUAUAUCAAAAUGAUUGAUAUGGUCAGUGGCCAUGGUGGACAAAUACAAGUAAAACCUCCUUUCCAUCAUGUCUAAAUCUUAUCAAAUUAGUUUUGUUCAGUAUAUUUUCUAUAAAAUCAAAUUUGAAUAUCUAUUACAUAUAUAUGCAAGGUUGCUUCUCUUGCAUGAAUGGUUGCGUAAAAUAAUAGAAAAGAGACAACAAUCUUGUAUGCAAACAAUCUCCAAUAAAUCCUUGGUGGUGCUAGAAAUUUCCUUUUAUGCUUAAUUUAUUGGCACAUACAGCAGUUCCAUACACAUCGUAUUAAUUUGCCAUUAUAUGAUUUUGGAUCUGCAGAUGAUUUCUAUCUUUUUGAUAAAACCAAAUUUAAUAAUAAAUUGAAACACGUGUGAUUAGUGAUAUAGAGAGGUCCUACGAUUUAGACAAAAAUUGAUUCUCCAAUCAAUGCUAGAGUUCAUAAAUCUUCUAAGGAAAAAACCUGAAGAAAAAACUCGAAACUGGGAGCAGUAGAUUUGAUUAAUUCUUGUAAUUUUCUUGGAUUAUCUGACUUUUUAUUGAGCCACGUUAAUUAUAUUCUUUAUCAUUCCCUCCUCCAUAAAAGAAAAUUGCCAUUAGUUUGCUAGUGGUUGCCUGAAUCUUCUUCUCCAAGAUUGAAUUAAUAAGCUGGGAACAUUGAAUGUAAGAUGUAUUCUUCAAGUAAGGUGCCAAAGUCAAUUUCGUCAAGAUUAACCCAUAAAGAGAUGGGAAGAAGGAAAUAGUUUGAUAAAGAAAAAAAGAGGUGAAGGGAAGAAAGAGCAAUGAAAUAAAGAAGAAAUUGAGGGUCUCUUUCUUGGUUUAAUAAGUAAAGGGAAUGUCGGUUAUAUUAGAGUAUAUUUCCAUGUAGAGGUUAAUAAAAUCACCGAAAAUCAGGGAUUAAUUCCAUUGUAUAGCUAAUUAUUUUCUUUCCUUAUAUAGCUUGUAAUAUUCUAUAAAUCAAAUGUAAUACACACGAGAAGAUUCAUUCUGCAAAAUAUUGUCAUGGUAUCAGAGACCUAAAAUCCUCUUUCUCGUACUUGUGAUCGUCCUCGUGUGUUCGACACCAUCCAGGGGCGAACCCACAUGGGGUCAUGUGGGGUCAAAUGACCCCACAGUUUUUUUUUUUUUUUUUUUUUUUGAAAACGGUUAUCCAUGAAUAUUUGGGAGUUCCAAUUAAUUCCUAGCCGGCUAGCCCAAUGACUCCAAUCCAUUAUCCAUAUCCAUUAAUCCAUAGUCCAUAGAUGAUAGACCUAAGACCAUAAUCCACUCUCCACUCCAUUGUCUUCCCACCGAUUUCUGAUGAGAAAAAUGUAGGAAAAUUUGAAAACUUAAUGAAUUCUAAAGUACGAAAAACGUUAUCUUUUAAGAGAUGUUUCUUUCCUAUCCAACGAAGUCACUAUUGGGGUAUGAUAGAAAAUCUCUCUUAGAAUACAAUGGAGGCGUUUGAUUCAAAUUGUGACUAUUUGAUCAAACCAAGAAGACACUCGAAAAAGAACUGAUGAUGCCAAGAGAAAGAGAGAAGAAUAUUUUUUAAUGUAUUUUGCAAACGAGAAUUCGCCCAGAAUUUAUAGAAAUUAAGGCAACCGUUUGAAUAGGUGUAUCCCUUAAAAUGAAGAACACAUAUGUUGGAAGUAGCAGUCAAAACGAACAAAUGCACCUAUUCAAAGACUUUUGAAAAUAAAAUUCUCUUUCGGGGGCGUUGCCCUUUGCGCAACAACAAACACUAGUCGAAGUGGCAAAUCAUUCGCAAAACAAAAAAAUAAAUACAUGCAAAAUGAUGAAAAAUAUCUAACAAUUUCUUCCCAAACAGCAGCGAAGCCUUCAUUUUUGACCCCACAGUCUGAAGUCUAUGGGUCCGCCCCUGGCACCAUCUCGUGUUUUUUCGGCAAUCUAUAGUUGGUAGGUGGUUGAUCGUAGUCGACGACUGUCAUCGGACCACUGUUCAUUGAAGUUCGUAUCUUCGGUGGUCGCAUCCCUUCUCUUCCUCAUUGGUUGAGUUUCUCGGCCUUCGUCUUUGUCUCUAUCUUUGUCUUGCGUCGCGCCUCCCGGUUUGCUCCGCCUAGUGGUGUUUAGUCAUAGUUUCCUUCUCAGUUCAGUUGUUGAUUCUUGGUCGAGGGAGGUUUUUGGCAUCUCGGUGUUGGGUUGGGGACUUCACAUCUCCAGUUGAAUUCUUCUUUGUAUUAACUUGGUUUCUUCUCUUUCUCCUGGACUGGGACGUGAAUUGUGGUGGUGUUGGGCUAUUGGGCUUGAUUCAUUAUUAGUUAAGCUGAAUUAUUUGAAUAGUGUUGGUCGAUUGUAUUUGGGCUACUCUUUUAAUUAAGCCCCCGUUUGAGCUCCAUUAUUUCUCAUUACAUUAAAUCAAAAUUUUCUCUAUCCCUACUUUUAACCACACAAUUUUCAAUAAAAUAAUAUUACACGUAAAUCAAAAGUUUUUCAACAACUCAUUUUAAAAAAAACACUAUUCAUCUCAUUAUAAUCUACAAAUAAUGGGGCUCAAAUGGGGGCUAAUUAUUAGUUCCAUCAUGUCAACCGAUAAGAAUUGAGUCGGUUUGUAUUCGCUUUUUUGGAAAAAAUUAUUCUUCAUGGGCUUUUCACUUUCAAUUGUUGGUUGAAGGCAAAGGCGAUCUUUGGGGAUAUAUUGAUGGAGAUCUUCCUUCUCCUGAUCAAGAGAAGGAUAAAGAAAAGUAUAUUGCUUGAAAAACCAAAGAUUCUCAACUUAUGGCCUGGAUCAUUGGAUCAGUUGAUGAGUAGAUUGUCCUUAAUCUCAGACCUUACAAGUCAGUCCGUGCUAUGUGGGAGUUCUUGAAGAAAGUCUAUACUCAAAGUAAUAAUGCUUGGCGACUUCAGUUGGAGUUUGAAUUAGCAAAUUUCUCUCAUGUUCCAUUGAAGAAUAUUAUUCAGGAUUCUCUAACCUUUGGGCCGAGUACACAAAUAUUAUCUACGCUUUGGUUUCAUUAAACAAUUUGGAGGCUAUCCAAGUUGUACACGAAGUCACCAAGAGAGAUCAAUUUCUUAUGAAAUUAUGAACUGAAUUUGAAUCCACCCGAUCUGGUCUUAUGAAUUGCGAGUCUCUUUCAUCACUGGAUGGUUGUUUGGGUGAAUUACUGAGGGAGGAGCAGUGUCUUAUCACUCGCGCUUCUUUGGAACAACAACAGAAUAAUGUAGCACCGGCUCUCAUUGCUUAUGUGGCUCAAGGAAAAUUCAAGCAUCGGGAUAUGUCUGUUUGCAAUGUUAUAGUUGUAAGGGAUUUGGUUACAUAGCUCUUCAGUGUCCUAAAAAAGUUUGCAAUUAUUGCAAGAAGUCUGACUAUGUUAUUAAGGAGUGCCCCACUUGUCCUCCACGCAACAUUGGAGCAAAUUAUAUUGCUGUUGCAACUUUAGCCUCUAAUUCUGCUUUACCACCUGCUCCUUUUCAAGUUCCAACAUUUCUCAACUCUUCUCAAACUCACAUAACUCCUGAGAUGAUUCAACAAACGAUUAUCUCUGCUUUGGGUAUCUCAGGUAAUACACCAUCUACUCGUUCUUCUUGAUUAUUAGACUCAGGUGCCUCUAACAAUAUGACUCACGAUCCUUUGUUACUUUGUAACCUUAGACCAUAUAUAGGACCUUUCAAUGUACACACUGCCGAUGGUAACAAACUUCCUUUCUUCGCUGUGGGAGAUAUAUCACUUUAACCUCUCCUCAUUUAUUAACUAAUCUUUAUCUAUCGGGUAACUUAUUGAUAAUAAUUGUAUUGUCUCUUUUUCUUCUUCUAAUUGUCAUGUACAAGAUCAGAUGUCUGGAAGGACUAUCGAAAGGGACCUAAAGUGGGACGUCUGUUUCCUAUUUCAUAAAAGCCUAUUCCAUUUUCUUCUUCCGUUUGUAAUUCUGCCACUUUAGAUAUUUUUAAGUGGCAUAACAAAUUGGGACACCCCAAUUCGAAUGUGCUACUACACUUGUUAAACUCGGGUUUGCUUGGUAAUAAAAAUGCUGCUUCAGUUAUCUCUCUCGAUUGUGCGUCAUGUAAACUUGCUAAAAGUAAAGUUCUACCAUUCCCAUCUCAUGAUUCUCGUGCUUUACAAAUUUUCGAUAUUAUUCGUAGUGAUGUAUAGGGUGUUGCACCUGUGGUAUCCUAUGCACAUUAUAAAUACUUUGUUAUCUUUAUCGAUGAUUAUAAUCGAUUUACAUGGAUUUAUUUUCUUCGUGCAAAGAGUUAUGUCUUCUUUGCUUUUCAAGUCUUUCUUGCUCUCAUUGACAAUCAAUUUUAUUCCUCGAUCAAAGUCUUAAGAUCUGAUUCAGGAGGUGAAUGAAUGUCUAGAGCUUUUCAAUCUUUCUUACAACUCAAAUGUAUCAUUUCUCAGCGAUCUUACCCUUCUACGCCUCAACAAAACGGCGUGGCAGAACGCAAGAAUCGUUAUGUUCUUGAUAUGGUUCGAGCUCUUUUGAUUGAGUAUUCUGUUCCCUCUCGUUUUUUGUGUGAAGCAUUGUAUACCGCUGUGCAUCUCAUAAACCGAUUACAUUCUCUCACUUUUAGUAAUGUUUCUUCAUUUUUGAAAAUAUUUGGUUAUCAUCCCACAUAUUCUCAUCUCCGUCCCUUUAAGUCUGUAUGUUUUGUUCAUUUGCAAUCACAUGAAAGGACAAAACUUACUCUUCAAUCUGUCAAGUGUGCCUUUCUGGGAUAUGGUGGGACUAAAAAAUGGUACAUCUGUUAUGAUCCUACAUCACAACGAAUUCGUAUUUUUCAUAAUAUUAUUAUUUUUGAAAAAUAAUCAUUCUUCAGUUCAGAAACUGUAGUUUCUCCUCCUGUGUUCUCUAUGUUACCUGAUUUCCCUGCAGAACCAUCUCGGUACAAGCCAGCCUUGUUUACGCUCGUAGGCAUGUUGCAUCCAUCACUAAUCUAGAUCUUGUUUCUCCGAUAAUGGUCCUUCCAAGCUUCUCUGAUCCUCUACCUACGACUCCUGAUCCUGCACAUGAUGAUGUGCCGCCUCCCGUCCCUCUUCGUCUUACUUCUCAUGUUUCUCGACCACCCAAUAGGUAUGGUUUCUCCUUCCGUAGUUCUAUGUCCGCUACACUUAAUUCGAUUUCUAUUCCUUCUUCCCAUAGACAAGCUAUAGAACAUGAAUGUUGGUAACAGGCUCGAGGCUCUUCAGGCCAAUCAGACCUAGGAUAUUAAGUGUGAAACCCAUUGGAAGUAAAUGAGUAUAUUUCGUUAAACUUCGUUCUGAUGAUUCUCUUGAGUGUUAUAAGGCUCGAUUAGUUGUUUUGGGUAAUCAUCGGGAGUAUGAUGAGACAUUUGCUCUUGUAGCAAAAAUGACCACAGUUCAUCUCUUGUUAUUGCUUGCCACUUCCCAAUCAUGGUUUUUACAUCAAAUGGAUGUGAAGAACGCAUUCCUACAUGUACACCUCAAGGAGGAUAUUUAUAUGAAACUUCCAUCUGGUAUGCCUCUUCCCUUAAUUGACUCUAGAUAUUGGCUAAAAUGCUUUUUGUAUGAUCUUAAGUAGGCUCAUUGGGCAUGGUUGACAAAUUUCGUUGUACUCUUUUGGAUUUCUUAUUUACCCGAAGUCAGUAUGAGGCAUCUCUGUUUUUCACAAGAGUAUUGUUGGCAUUGUCUUUUUAUUGGUAGAUGUGGAUGAUAUUAUUAUCUCUGGAUUUGAUCACAGUCUUAUCCAGAAACUUCAGCAGCAUCUUCACUCGAUUUUUCACAUGAAAGACCUUGUUCAACUUACUUUCUUGGUUUAGAGGUACAUACCACAUCAGAUGGUAUCUUCUUGAAUCAACAUGAGUAUAUUUGAAGCCUCCUCAGUUGAUACGCUGUUGGAGCAUAAUGCCAAAUAUCGAGAAGAUGGAGGAGAUUUUCUUCCAGAUUCUACUCUUUAUUGGAAGUUUGUAGGUAGUCUCAUCCAUCUCACCAUCACACGUCCGGAUAUUUCCUAUGCGGUUCAUACUAUAAGCAAGUUUAUGGACGCUCCUCAUCAUCUUCAUUUGGUAGCCGUUCGUCGCAUUAUUUGCUAUCUUAUUGAAACUCCUCAUCGUGAUCUUUUCUUCCCUGGGGGGUCAUCUCUUGAGCUCACAGCUUAUAGUGAUGCUGAUUGUGCUGGUUGUCCUGAUUCCCGUCGAUCUGCUAUUGGAUGGUAUAUUUUUUUUUGGUGAUGCUCUCAUUUCUUGGAAAUGUAAUAAACAAGAAUGUGUUUCUAAGUCUUCCACUGAGGCUGAAUACCGAGCUAUAUCCGCUGCAUGUUUUGAGGUUACGUGGUUGCAUGGUCUUUUGGCAGAACUUGGUAUCUCUCAAUCAUAGUUUACACCCUUUCAUGGUAACAACAUUAGUGCUAUUUAGAUUGCGGCCAAUCCUGUGUAACAUGAACGCAGCAUAUAGAAGUCGAUUGUCAUUACAUCCGGAAUGCCUAUGAUUCCAAAGUCAUAUCUCUUCCCCAUGUUUCCACUUCACAACAGGGUACACAUAUCUUCACCAAAUUGUUAACUCGCCUCCUUCAUAACUUUCUCGUGAGUAAAUUGAUGCUUGUGGACUCCCCAACAUCAAUCGGGUCCGGGGGCGGGGGUUGUCAUUAGAGUAUAUUUCCAUGUAUAGGUUAAUAAAUCACAAACAAUCAGGAUUAAUUCCAUUGUAUAGCUAAUUAUUUUCUUUCCUUAAUAGCUUGUAAUAUUUUUAAAUCAAAUGUAAUACACACGAGAAGAUUCAUUCUGCAAAAUAUUGUCACGUUAAUCCCACAAUAAAAAAGGACCUAAAUAUGGAAUUUAGUUUUCGACCAGUUCUUGCUUUGGACUUUAUUUUAUCAAAUUUCCUUUCUAUGUAUUUCAAUUAGAUGAUGUUAAGUAGUUGAGCUUUGCAUUCUACCUUCCUAGUUUGUUAAGGACCUCAAUUUUUGGCAUUCAUCCAGUCUGAUUUUUGUUACAUUCUUCCUCACAUGCAUUUAUAUUUCAUUAUUUCAGGAUGAGAAUAAAUUAGAUUGGGAUAUCAGUAAAAGCCAUUUGAUCAAUGGUCCGUAGAUUGUGUAACUAUUACUUAACUUCAGCUACAGUCUGUAGGUUGUAUAAUUGUUAAAAAAACAUGUGAUUCUACUUCUAUAGAUUAUUAAAAUUAUGAUCUUUUUUUAAUGUUAUGGUCUAUUUUUGCUUCGGUAAAAAGUUGAAGCUACUGUUUGAACAAUAAUUUUAGAGUUUUGUUCUGAAUUUCUUGGCUUCCCAUUGCUUUUCUCCUUUUCCUUUCAAUGGAAAACAUCAUUGCUGGUUGCUACCUAAUUGUGAAUAUUUGUGAAACAGGUGAACAACAUUAGUGGCUAUCUUCCUGGUCGUAUAGUAUUUUUCCUGGUACGUCCUAUUUCAUUGUGUCGUAACACUUACCUACUCGUCUUGCAAUAUUACAUGGCUGUUUCUAUAGAUAUACCAUUCUAUCAUUAUCAAUGUCAAGUGUGAACAGAAGCACUUUUAACGAUGUAUAAGGUUCUAACCCAGAAAAGUUCAUGUAAGAGACCUUGGUCCACGUAGUACUCUUGAGGAGAUUUCCUUUGUCCCAAUCUAACUGGUGAUAAAAGUGCCAGGGAUUACAUAAAAUUAAAAAUGAUAAAUUUCAACUGUUCCCGAUGACCCAGGGUACUGUAUAUAUGUUUUCUUCUCAAUGUUGUUGCAAUUAGCAUAUUUGGAUCAUUAGGUUUCUCUAAACCUGUUUCUUCAAGCUGUAUGCUGCUUUCCCAUCUAUAUUUUGAACUUGCGACUUAUUAUAUAUGUAAAAGGAUCUGGAGGAAAAGGCUUUGCUCUAUAACAUUCCUCUCUUAUGAUCUAAGUAUUAUUUUUUCUCUUCAUCCGGCUAUUUAUUCAUUUAUUUUUUAUUUUGCCCCUAUUUGGGCCCCAUCCUUUAAAAAACAAUUUUCUUCAAAUUCAUUUUCAACCAUAUAUUCUCCCAAUAAAUAAUUUUGCACAUAAAUUCAAUUUUUUUUUUCUAUUUUUUAACUGCACGUUCUCUAAAAAAAAAAAUCACUUUUUGAUAAUCUAUUCUCAAAAAAUGGGGCUCCCCCCCCCCCCCCUCCCCCUUUCUUUUGCACUGCUUUAAAUAUAUUACAUAAAGAUAUGACUUCAGAUUGUGUUUCUUUCCAUUUUGCAGGUGAAUACACAUCUGACGCCAAGACCAAUUCUGCUUACUAGGCAUGGAGAGAGCCGUGACAAUGUUAGAGGCAGAAUUGGUGGUGACAGUGUGUUGAGGUUCUUUUUUAUUUUAUCAUGUUAAAUUUUCUACUAAAUUUGGGUAGAAUAUUUGAGUCUCUGAUUUAAUAUCCAUAAUUCUCUCGUUGAAAAUAAAGAUUCAUCUUUGGUAAAUUUAUUCUCAUUCAGCCAAUGCAAAAAUCCAAGAGCUGCAAACAGAAUUUCAAGGUUAAGGACCCAUGUUAAUGCCAUUAAGGGGUGGUGGGAUGUCAAUAUAUCUCAACAACCCUUCAUCAUACUUUUAGAUGUCCUGGAAUUCCACUAGCACGAAACUGCAAAAAAUUUGACUAGCUAUUGACUAAUAAUUUUUUGUUGUAUUUAUUUUGAGUUGACAAUUUCUGUGAUAUAAACUCAUUUCCUUCACUAUUACCUAAUCUAAAGUGCUAAUACCCUUUGACAGUGAUACUGGAGAGCUUUAUGCAAAGAAACUUGCUAAUUUUGUUGAAAAGCGUCUGAAAAACGAAAGGGCUGCUUCUGUAAGUUUCACCAAUUUAAAAAAUUUGAGUUCAAAGAUAGAAUUAGAUGUGUGACAAAAUCUUCUAUACAGUUCUUCUGAAUUUUAAGUUCAGAAAUUUUCUUUGCCCUGUCGUACAGUGUUGAUUGGAUAGUCUGUCUGUUGUUAUAUUAAAAAAAUAAAAAAAUAAAAAAAAAAAAUCUAAUGAAGUAUUCGCUGAGAAAACAUCUUAACCUCAUAGGUGGCCUUAUUCGAUUUGGCUAGCUGGAAAUCACAAAUUUAUGGUUAACUUGUUAAUAGUCUCUUAGAUCUGAUCCAUUUGUUGCUAAAAUAGUGCAUUUUUAUGUAUUUUUGGCUUAGAUAUAGAUCAUGUCAAUUUCUUUAUCUGUAAUGUUGGCACUGAUGAUGUUUGAAAAUGUAGAGUUCUCUCUUUUAAAGGCUUCAAGGAUAGAGGGUGUGGGCAAGAUUAAAGGUUUUUUUUUUGAUAGGUGGGUCAAGAUUAUAAAUUAGGGGCCGUAUUUCAGUUUCCCUAAUAUUAACCUUAUCUGUUCUGCAAGAUUUUUUCUUUCUUGAAAUAAGCCAAUCGUUUAUUCUGCUUGAAUUCAUGUCUGGGUGGAUAUAAGGUCAUGUCACCAGUCACCACCGUAUCAUGGUUUAUGAGAUUAUAUGCCUAUUGCUUCACCUCUAGAAGGCAAGGUGUUAAUUAGCAUCAAUAUCACUGCUGAAAAUAUAGAAUGGUUCUAAAUUAAUUCUUCUUUAAUAAAUAUUGCUGGUCAUUGUACGCUAGUCUUUAAUUCAAACAUCCAUUUGAUGAAUAAAAAAUUUGUCUCAAUGUGUUCUCUGAUAUUGAAUUGUAGCAUUUUUUUUCUGUAAAAAAUUAUAAUUCCUUGAACAUCCACUGGAGCUAACAUCGCAUAAAAUUACCAGAUUAAGUUCAUUGUUUUUGACAUCAUGUUUCUCCUAUGGCUUAGAUAUGGACCAGCACGUUGCAGAGAUCAAUUAUAACUGCUAGCCCAAUAGUUGGAUUCCCGAAGGUAGGUUGUGUUAACUGCUAUACGUGAUUAAAACAUAAAUUACAGUAUUCAGUAGUGAUGCUCCCACCAUUGUUUUAGUUGACUACUGAAUCUAUUUGUAAUUCCAUCUUCACUUGUAGAUACAAUGGCGUGCACUGGAUGAGAUUAAUGCUGGUGCAUGUGAUGGGAUGAAUUAUGAAGAAAUAAAGAGAAAUAUGCCCGAGGAAUAUCAGUAUGCUUCAGUUCUUUGAACUUUAUUUUAUCCUUUUAGUAUAUUUGUGCAUAGAUGAAGCAUAGUAUUAUCUGACUUGAAAGUGCGAUAUUCGUGAUGGAUGUUUGACCCAUUGAUUAUUUUGAUCACUGUUUCAUUGUCA